AGCGGACAGAAGGGAGCUUGCUCCCGGAUGUUAGCGGCGGACGGGUGAGUAACACGUGGGUAACCUGCCUGUAAGACUGGGAUAACUCCGGGAAACCGGAGCUAAUACCGGAUAGUUCCUUGAACCGCAUGGUUCAAGGAUGAAAGACGGUUUCGGCUGUCACUUACAGAUGGACCCGCGGCGCAUUAGCUAGUUGGUGGGGUAAUGGCUCACCAAGGCGACGAUGCGUAGCCGACCUGAGAGGGUGAUCGGCCACACUGGGACUGAGACACGGCCCAGACUCCUACGGGAGGCAGCAGUAGGGAAUCUUCCGCAAUGGACGAAAGUCUGACGGAGCAACGCCGCGUGAGUGAUGAAGGUUUUCGGAUCGUAAAGCUCUGUUGUUAGGGAAGAACAAGUGCGAGAGUAACUGCUCGCACCUUGACGGUACCUAACCAGAAAGCCACGGCUAACUACGUGCCAGCAGCCGCGGUAAUACGUAGGUGGCAAGCGUUGUCCGGAAUUAUUGGGCGUAAAGGGCUCGCAGGCGGUUUCUUAAGUCUGAUGUGAAAGCCCCCGGCUCAACCGGGGAGGGUCAUUGGAAACUGGGAAACUUGAGUGCAGAAGAGGAGAGUGGAAUUCCACGUGUAGCGGUGAAAUGCGUAGAGAUGUGGAGGAACACCAGUGGCGAAGGCGACUCUCUGGUCUGUAACUGACGCUGAGGAGCGAAAGCGUGGGGAGCGAACAGGAUUAGAUACCCUGGUAGUCCACGCCGUAAACGAUGAGUGCUAAGUGUUAGGGGGUUUCCGCCCCUUAGUGCUGCAGCUAACGCAUUAAGCACUCCGCCUGGGGAGUACGGUCGCAAGACUGAAACUCAAAGGAAUUGACGGGGGCCCGCACAAGCGGUGGAGCAUGUGGUUUAAUUCGAAGCAACGCGAAGAACCUUACCAGGUCUUGACAUCCUCUGACAACCCUAGAGAUAGGGCUUUCCCUUCGGGGACAGAGUGACAGGUGGUGCAUGGUUGUCGUCAGCUYGUGUCGUGAGARGUUGGGUUAAGUCCCGCAACGAGCGCAACCCUUGAUCUUAGUUGCCAGCAUUUAGUUGGGCACUCUAAGGUGACUGCCGGUGACAAACCGGAGGAAGGUGGGGAUGACGUCAAAUCAUCAUGCCCCUUAUGACCUGGGCUACACACGUGCUACAAUGGACAGAACAAAGGGCUGCGAGACCGCAAGGUUUAGCCAAUCCCAUAAAUCUGUUCUCAGUUCGGAUCGCAGUCUGCAACUCGACUGCGUGAAGCUGGAAUCGCUAGUAAUCGCGGAUCAGCAUGCCGC
This 1311-nucleotide ribosomal RNA is filed under the name Bacillus sp. MH-125. Its description in RNAcentral is "bacterial SSU rRNA". It matches the Rfam family "Bacterial small subunit ribosomal RNA", at positions 65 to 1360 of the family's 1533-position model. The record is from RNAcentral. Lineage: Bacteria; Bacillati; Bacillota; Bacilli; Caryophanales; Bacillaceae.